GCUGACGAGUCCCAAAUAGGAUGAAACGCGCGUUC
This is a non-coding RNA of Schistosoma haematobium, 35 nucleotides long. The record is from Rfam. NCBI's taxonomy places the organism in Eukaryota, Metazoa, Platyhelminthes, Trematoda, Strigeidida, Schistosomatidae.